Molecule: ribosomal RNA, 766 nt
Filed under: uncultured bacterium
Lineage: Bacteria
Description: bacterial SSU rRNA
Rfam family: Bacterial small subunit ribosomal RNA
Source: RNAcentral
UUCCUACGGGAGGCAGCAGUGGGGAAUUUUCCGCAAUGGGCGAAAGCCUGACGGAGUGACGCCCGUGGGGGACGAAGGCCUUCGGGUCGUAAACCCCUGUCAGGGAAAGAAGGGUCUCGGCGUGAACAGCGCCGGGAUCUGACGGUACCUUCAGAGGAAGCCCCGGCCAACUCUGUGCCAGCAGCCGCGGUAAGACAGAGGGGGCAAGCGUUGCUCGGAAUCACUGGGCGUAAAGGGCGCGUAGGCGGGAUGGCAAGUCAGUCGUGAAAUCCCUGGGCUCAACUCAGGGGGGUCGGCUGAAACUGCCGUUCUUGAGGGAUGCAGAGGAGACUGGAAUUCCCGGUGUAGCGGUGAAAUGUGUAGAGAUCGGGAGGAACACCGGUGGCGAAGGCGGGUCUCUGGGCAUUCCCUGACGCUGAGGCGCGAAAGCGUGGGGAGCAAACGGGAUUAGAUACCCCGGUAGUCCACGCGGUAAACGAUGACGACUAGGUGUGGGGGGGUUAAGUCCCUUCCGUGCCGCAGCUAACGCAUUAAGUCGUCCGCCUGGGGAGUACGGCCGCAAGGUUGAAACUCAAAGGAAUUGACGGGGGCCCGCACAGCGGUGGAGCAUGUGGUUCAAUUCGAUGCAGAGCGGCCUUACCUGGGCUUGACAUGUAGGAAGUAGAAACCGGAAACGGGGACGACCUGUGAGUCAGGAGCCUACACAGGUGGUGCAUGGCGUCGUCAGCUCGUGCCGUGAGGUGUUGGGUUAAGUCCCGCAACGAGC